This 253-nucleotide ribosomal RNA is filed under the name uncultured bacterium. RNAcentral describes it as "partial 16S ribosomal RNA". It matches the Rfam family "Bacterial small subunit ribosomal RNA", at positions 524 to 776 of the family's 1533-position model. The record is from RNAcentral.
UACAGAGGGUGCGAGCGUUGUCCGGAAUUAUUGGGCGUAAAGAGCUCGUAGGCGGUCUGUCGCGUCGGCUGUGAAAACCCGGAGCUCAACUCCGGGCCUGCAGUCGAUACGGGCAGACUGGAGUUCGGCAGGGGAGACUGGAAUUCCUGGUGUAGCGGUGAAAUGCGCAGAUAUCAGGAGGAACACCGGUGGCGAAGGCGGGUCUCUGGGCCGAUACUGACGCUGAGGAGCGAAAGCGUGGGGAGCGAACAGG